Molecule: ribosomal RNA, 279 nt
Filed under: uncultured bacterium
Lineage: Bacteria
Description: partial 16S ribosomal RNA
Rfam family: Bacterial small subunit ribosomal RNA
Source: RNAcentral
UGCCAGCAGCCGCGGUAAUACGUAGGGUGCAAGCGUUGUCCGGAUUUAUUGGGUUUAAAGGGUGCGCAGGCGGCUCAUUAAGUUAGUGGUGAAAUCUUCCGGCUUAACCGGAUUCCCGCCAUUGAUACUGAUGAGCUUGAGUGUAGUCGAGGAAGUUAGAAUGCGUGGUGUAGCGGUGAAAUGCAUAGAUAUCACGCAGAAUACCAAUUGCGAAGGCAGACUUCUAGAGUACAACUGACGCUGAGGCACGAAAGCGUGGGUAGCGAACAGGAUUAGAUA